CCGUCGUUCGCGACGACGGGGGAGGGGGGGAAACGGAGAGGAGGGAAUCGCAAUAUAAUAUUUUAACAAUAUAAUCGACGAGUGUACAUUAUGCGUACUAUAAAAUAAUUGUAUAAACAAACACAAUAUCAUACGACGCGGGAAAUAAAAAAAAAAAAUAACAAAUUGUAAAAAAAAAAAAAAAAAAACUAUAUAGAUCAUUGAUCGCGCGACCCCUUUAACCAUUGAUUCCGGAUAUUGUUUCGAUAAUCGGGAGCGCGCGCGAGCUCGAGGACUCGUUGAGUUUUAUUACGGUAUCGGUUUUUUUUUUUUUUUUUUUUUACAGAAGGGCAAAGAAGCGAGGCGAGUGACUAUAUUAUUUUUAUCGUAUAAAUAAUAUAUAAAAAAAAAAAAUACGCGGGCGAAAUGCGGUUAACAGGAAAAAAAAGCAAAAACAAAAACUUAAAAAAAAAAAAUGAAAUAAAAACACUGGUCGUACGCGCGCGUACAACACGAGCG
Cinara cedri is the source of this 498-nucleotide non-coding RNA. The record is from the annotation of a GenBank genome assembly. Lineage: Eukaryota; Metazoa; Arthropoda; Insecta; Hemiptera; Aphididae.